Molecule: ribosomal RNA, 371 nt
Filed under: uncultured bacterium
Lineage: Bacteria
Description: bacterial SSU rRNA
Rfam family: Bacterial small subunit ribosomal RNA
Source: RNAcentral
AUUGAACGCUGGCGGCAUGCUUUACACAUGCAAGUCGAACGGUAACGGGGACUUCGGUCUGCCGACGAGUGGCGAACGGGUGAGUAAUAUAUCGGAACGUGCCCAGUAAUGGGGGAUAGCUCGGCGAAAGCCGGAUUAAUACCGCAUACGCCCUGAGGGGGAAAGUGGGGGAUCUUCGGACCUCACGUUAUUGGAGCGGCCGAUAUCAGAUUAGCUAGUUGGUGGGGUAAAGGCCUACCAAGGCGACGAUCUGUAGCUGGUCUGAGAGGAUGAUCAGCCACACUGGGACUGAGACACGGCCCAGACUCCUACGGGAGGCAGCAGUGGGGAAUUUUGGACAAUGGGCGGAAAGACCUGAUCCAGCCAUGCCG